GUUUUCACCGCUCCGAUCCAUAAAAUUUCAUCAAAAAUUCGCUCAUGUCUUGACUCGUCUUAAAUAUAUAGAGCAAUAAGUAGAAAUUCGUCCUGACCUACCAAAAAAAACAAAGCUUCGUUUCCAUCCUUAAUCUGAAGUCGCAUGCAGAUAAGUUUUCUAAUCAGUGUAGUGAAUUUUUCUGCAUACUAUUAAUUUCUUCAUCUGUAUCUUCAGAAUGCGCAAUUGAUUUCAACUAAUCAGUAUAAUCGAAUCCAUAAUUGAUUGAAAGCAGAAUCAAUAAAUUUUUUUUUUUCUUUUGAAGAUUUUAAUAGGCCAACCACACGCAGACAUCCGGCUAAAAGUGAGAUUUGAACUUAAGCAACAAUGUGUGAAGAAGGAGCACUUAACUACUGACUGGCUAAAUUAACGGACGUUG
Molecule: long non-coding RNA, 418 nt
Filed under: Ananas comosus (pineapple)
Lineage: Eukaryota; Viridiplantae; Streptophyta; Magnoliopsida; Poales; Bromeliaceae
Description: long non-coding RNA (ACOM_LNC007667)
Source: RNAcentral